GUAGGGUAGUAUCCUGGAAGUCUUA
This 25-nucleotide transfer RNA is filed under the name Uperoleia laevigata (smooth toadlet). Its description in RNAcentral is "partial tRNA-Ala". Lineage: Eukaryota; Metazoa; Chordata; Amphibia; Anura; Myobatrachidae. The record is from RNAcentral.